RNAcentral lists this ribosomal RNA (433 nucleotides) under uncultured bacterium. RNAcentral describes it as "partial 16S ribosomal RNA". It matches the Rfam family "Bacterial small subunit ribosomal RNA", at positions 29 to 507 of the family's 1533-position model. The record is from RNAcentral.
AACGAACGCUGGCGGCAUGCCUAACACAUGCAAGUCGAACGAGACCUUCGGGUCUAGUGGCGCACGGGUGCGUAACGCGUGGGAACCUGCCCUUAGGUUCGGAAUAACUCCCCGAAAGGGGUGCUAAUACCGGAUAAUGUCUUCGGACCAAAGAUUUAUCGCCUUUGGAUGGGCCCGCGUUGGAUUAGCUAGUUGGUAGGGUAAAAGCCUACCAAGGCGACGAUCCAUAGCUGGUCUGAGAGGAUGAGCAGCCACACUGGGACUGAGACACGGCCCAGACUACUACGGGAGGCAGCAGUGGGGAAUAUUGGACAAUGGGCGGAAGGCUGAUCCAGCAAUGCCGCGUGAGUGAUGAAGGCCUUAGGGUUGUAAAGCUCUUUUACCCGGGAUGAUAAUGACAGUACCGGGAGAAUAAGCUCCGGCUAACUCCGUG